GAUGAAGAACGCAGCGAAAUGCGAUAAGUAAUGUGAAUUGCAGAAUUCAGUGAAUCAUCGAAUCUUUGAACGCACAUUGCGCCCGCCAGUAUUCUGGCGGGCAUGCCUGUUCGAGCGUCAUUUCAACCAUCAAGCCCCAGGCUUGUGUUGGGGACCUGCGGCUGCCGCAGACCCUGAAAACCAGUGGCGGGCUCGCUGUCACACCGGGCGUAGUAGAUUUUAUCUCGCUCAGGGCGUGCUGCGGGUUCCGGCCGUUAAAAAGCCUUUUUUACCCAAGGUUGACCUCGGAUCAGGUAGGAAGACCCGCUGAACUUAAGCAUAUCAAUAAGCGGAGGA
This 336-nucleotide unclassified non-coding RNA is filed under the name soil metagenome. Its description in RNAcentral is "partial contains 5.8S ribosomal RNA, internal transcribed spacer 2, and large subunit ribosomal RNA". The stretch from base 1 to 120 matches the Rfam family "5.8S ribosomal RNA", at positions 35 to 154 of the family's 154-position model. The record is from RNAcentral.